GACGAACGCUGGCGGCGUGCUUAACACACGCAAGUCGAACGGAAAGGCCCUGCUUUUGUGGGGUGCUCGAGUGGCGAACGGGUGAGUAACACGUGAGUAACCUGCCCUUGACUUUGGGAUAACUUCAGGAAACUGGGGCUAAUACCGGAUAGGAGCUCCUGCUGCAUGGUGGGGGUUGGAAAGUUUCGGCGGUUGGGGAUGGACUCGCGGCUUAUCAGCUUGUUGGUGGGGUAGUGGCUUACCAAGGCUUUGACGGGUAGCCGGCCUGAGAGGGUGACCGGCCACAUUGGGACUGAGAUACGGCCCAGACUCCUACGGGAGGCAGCAGUGGGGAAUAUUGCACAAUGGGCGGAAGCCUGAUGCAGCAACGCCGCGUGCGGGAUGACGGCCUUCGGGUUGUAAACCGCUUUCGCCUGUGACGAAGCGUGAGUGACGGUAAUGAGUAAAGAAGCACCGGCUAACUACGUG
This 468-nucleotide ribosomal RNA is filed under the name uncultured bacterium. RNAcentral describes it as "partial 16S ribosomal RNA". It matches the Rfam family "Bacterial small subunit ribosomal RNA", at positions 28 to 507 of the family's 1533-position model. The record is from RNAcentral.